RNAcentral lists this ribosomal RNA (484 nucleotides) under uncultured bacterium. Its description in RNAcentral is "partial 16S ribosomal RNA". It matches the Rfam family "Bacterial small subunit ribosomal RNA", at positions 30 to 507 of the family's 1533-position model. The record is from RNAcentral.
AUUGAACGCUGGCGGCAGGCCUAACACAUGCAAGUCGAGCGGAUGAAGGGAGCUUGCUCCUGGAUUCAGCGGCGGACGGGUGAGUAAUGCCUAGGAAUCUGCCUGGCAGUGGGGGAUAACGUCCGGAAACGGGCGCUAAUACCGCAUCCGUCCUGAGGGAGAAAGUGGGGGAUCUUCGGACCUCACGCUAUCAGAUGAGCCUAGGUCGGAUUAGCUAGUUGGUGGGGUAAAGGCCUACCAAGGCGACGAUCCGUAACUGGUCUGAGAGGAUGAUCAGUCACACUGGAACUUAGGCACGGUCCAGACUCCUACGGGAGGCAGCAGUGGGGAAUAUUGGACGAUGGGCGAAAACCUGGUCCAGCCAUGCCGAGUGUGUGAAGAAGGUCUUCGGAUUGUAAAGCACUUUAAGUUGGGAGGAAGGGCAGUAAGUUGAGACCUUGCUGUUUUGACGUUACCGACAGAAUAAGCACCGGCUAACUUCGUG